This is a long non-coding RNA of Haliotis rubra (blacklip abalone), 412 nucleotides long. RefSeq lists it as uncharacterized. The record is from RefSeq and is a predicted model, not a curated record. The transcript is spliced from 2 exons. Lineage: Eukaryota; Metazoa; Mollusca; Gastropoda; Lepetellida; Haliotidae.
GUGGGGUAUUCAUGCUUCACCGCAGCAUGGUAUCUAACGAAAUAUUCUCCAGCGCGACGUUAAACUUAAUUUCACCUCACCUCACCUCACCUCACCUCCGUGACCUAAACAGUGAAAUUAUUUAGCCUACCAUCCCAAGUAUCAGCCCACUGUACAUAGGUAACAUAAUGUUACCUGUUAGACAGGAAAACACAGACAGCUUUCGAUAGAGGUGUUGAGGUGUUGGUUUAAGCAUGUAUUGCAGUAUGCCAAAGGGGAAACAACGGGUCGUGACUCUACCAGUACCGAGGUAACUUGGGUGUUAAGUUAAGCUUGCUAUGUGUUAGUAGUGUUUUCCUAUUUAUUUGACUGUUGAGUUAUAUAUAGUCGUUACAUUUAAAGUGUGAUAUAUUAAACUGUAUUUCUGACUUUG